RNAcentral lists this ribosomal RNA (513 nucleotides) under uncultured bacterium. RNAcentral's name for it is "partial 16S ribosomal RNA". It matches the Rfam family "Bacterial small subunit ribosomal RNA", at positions 28 to 507 of the family's 1533-position model. The record is from RNAcentral.
GACGAACGCUGGCGGCGUGCCUAACACAUGCAAGUCGAACGAAAAGAGGGAAAGAGCUUGCUCUUUCCGGCAUUGAGUGACAAACGAGUGAGUAACACGUAAACAACCUGCCUUCAGGAUGGGGACAACAGACGGAAACGACUGCUAAUACCGAACAAGUUCCACAUGACGCUUGGCCCAUGAUAGAAAAUAUGUCAUCUACCUGUAAGCUAUCGCCUUAAGAUGGGUUUGCGUCUGAUUAGCUGGUUGGUGGGGUAACGGCCUACCAAGGCGACGAUCAGUUGCCGGUAUGAGGGGAUGAACGGGCACACUGGGACUGGGACACGGGCCAGACUCCUACGGGAGGCAGCAGUGGGGGAUCUUCCGCAAUGGGCGGAAGCCUGACGGGGCAACGCCGCGGGGGUGAUGGCGGCCUUCGGGUUGUAAAACUCUGUGAUCCGGGAAGAAAAGGCAGAGUGCGAAGAACAACCUGCAUUGACGGUACCGGACAAGAAAGCCACGGCUAACUACGUG